GAUGAACGUUGGCGGCGUGCCUAAUACAUGCAAGUCGAACGAAGACUGUAGUAAUACUGUCUUAGUGGCGAACGGGUGAGUAACGCGUGGGUGACCUGCCCCGAAGUGUGGGAUAACAGUCCGAAAGGAUUGCUAAUACUGCAUAAUAUCCAAGAGAUUAGACGCUUUUGGAUUAAAGGAGUAAUUCGCUUCGGGAGGGGCCCGCGUCCCAUCAGCUAGUUGGUAAGGUAAUGGCUUACCAAGGCGAUGACGGGUAGGGGACCUGAGAGGGUGGCCCCCACAAUGGAACUGAAACACGGUCCAUACACCUACGGGUGGCAGCAGUAGGGAAUAUUGGUUAAUGUGCGAAAGCGCGAACCAGCAACGCCGCGUGCACGAUGAAGGCCUUCGGGUUGUAAAGUGCUUUUGUAGGGGAUGAGGAAGGACAGUACCCUCAGAAUAAGUCUCGGCCAACUACGUG
RNAcentral lists this ribosomal RNA (460 nucleotides) under uncultured bacterium. RNAcentral describes it as "bacterial SSU rRNA". It matches the Rfam family "Bacterial small subunit ribosomal RNA", at positions 28 to 507 of the family's 1533-position model. The record is from RNAcentral.